AACGAACGCUGGCGGCAUGCCUAACACAUGCAAGUCGAACGAGGCCUUCGGGUCUAGUGGCGCACGGGUGCGUAACGCGUGGGAACCUGCCCUUAGGUUCGGAAUAACUCCCCGAAAGGGGUGCUAAUACCGGAUAAUGUCUUCGGACCAAAGAUUUAUCGCCUUUGGAUGGGCCCGCGUUGGAUUGGCUAGUUGGUAGGGUAAAAGCCUACCAAGGCGACGAUCCAUAGCUGGUCUGAGAGGAUGAUCAGCCACACUGGGACUGAGACACGGCCCAGACUCCUACGGGAGGCAGCAGUGGGGAAUAUUGGACAAUGGGCGAAAGCCUGAUCCAGCAAUGCCGCGUGAGUGAUGAAGGCCUUAGGGUUGUAAAGCUCUUUUACCCGGGAUGAUAAUGACAGUACCGGGAGAAUAAGCUCCGGCUAACUCCGUG
This 433-nucleotide ribosomal RNA is filed under the name uncultured bacterium. RNAcentral describes it as "partial 16S ribosomal RNA". It matches the Rfam family "Bacterial small subunit ribosomal RNA", at positions 29 to 507 of the family's 1533-position model. The record is from RNAcentral.